Molecule: ribosomal RNA, 460 nt
Filed under: uncultured bacterium
Lineage: Bacteria
Description: partial 16S ribosomal RNA
Rfam family: Bacterial small subunit ribosomal RNA
Source: RNAcentral
CCUACGGGAGGCAGCAGUGAGGAAUAUUGGUCAAUGGACGAGAGUCUGAACCAGCCAAAUAGCGUGAAGGAUGACUGCCCUAUGGGUUGUAAACGUCUUUUAUAAAGGAGUAAAACGACGAACGUGUGCCUUUGUGCAUGUACUUUAUGAAUAAGGAUCGGCUAACUCCGUUCCAGCAGCCGCGGUAAUACGGAGGAUCCGAACGUUAUUCGGAUUUGUUGGGUUUAAAGGGAACGUAGAUGUGUUUUUAAGUCAGGUGUGAAGGUUUGCGGCCUAAACGUAAACUUGCAAUUGAUACGGGCAGUCUUGAGUACAGUUGAGGUAGGCGGAAUUCGUGGUGUAGCGGUGAAAUGCUUAGAUAUCACGAAGAACCCCGAUGGCGAAGGCAGCUUACUAAACUGUGACUGACAUUGAUGCUCGAAAGUGUGGGUAUCAAACAGGAUUAGAUACCCUAGUAGUC